RNAcentral lists this long non-coding RNA (4621 nucleotides) under Sus scrofa (pig). RNAcentral describes it as "lncRNA (ENSSSCG00000054287.1)". The record is from RNAcentral. Lineage: Eukaryota; Metazoa; Chordata; Mammalia; Artiodactyla; Suidae.
GUGCAGCCCUAAAAUGACAAAAAGACAAAAAAAAAAAAAAAGAUAAUAGCACAUUUGGGGGGCCUGUCUUCAAUCUCAUUCUUUUUUGAAUGUGACAUUUCGAUCAGCCACAUACUUCUGACCAUGCAACACUACCCCAAUAAUAUUUGAAAAUAAAACAGUGACAGUUGUUCAUUACUUACAUAUCUUUUACAUCUUUAUUAAAAAUUUAAAAAUUGGAUUAUCAAUAUAGCUAAGCAUCCAUAUGAUUCUGGAAAUAUUUUGAUGAUAAAUGAAAGAAACCCUUAGGUUCUAAGGCGAUAAACAAUCUUCCUUCAAAAACACACAAUUUUAUUUAUUUUUAUUUUCUUAGUCUAUUUUUUUCAGGACUGCACCCAUGGCAUAUGUAGGUUCCCAGGCUAGGGGUCUAAUCAGAGCUAUAACUCUUGGCCUAUUCCACAGCUCACAGCAAUGCCGGAUCCUUCACCCACUGAGUGAGGCCAGGAAUUGAAUCUGCGUCCUCAUGGAUACUAGUCAGUUUCAUUUCCACUGAGCCAUGCUGGGAACUCCAAAAACACACAAUUUUAGUUUUUGGUAAUAUCACAAACAGGAUGGCAGAGGAAAAAUCAUGCACAUUAUAAGCUAAGGCACUGUGCUUUAAUUCUUAUGCCAUUGAUUUUUCAGGCUAAAUCAAGGGGAAAAAUACCACAUUUUGAAAAGUCUGAAUAUAUUCACAUGGUAAGUUGUUUAUUUAAAUCAGGGUAAUUUAGUGUGUUACCACUAUAUGUCAAGAGACACAGUACAAUGCCAUAAAACAUCUCAUAAAUCACAAAGGAGUUACCAUGAAUAAAGGAACAGCAAAGGAAAUCUUAAGAGACAUUGUAAUUGCACAAUUGGCAGUACAGAUUGUUGAGUUCUGAACAGACCAGAAAGAUGUAGUUUUUGCCAACAAUAAUAGAGAGGAAAAAUACUUUCCAUGGUAAAUCCAAGUAUGGAAGAGUAUGGCUGUAUAGCUGUUAAAGAACCCAUGAAGAAACUUAAAAGAAAACAUGCUUUAUAUCUGGUACAUUACAUUAUUAGAGGUACCUCACAAAGAUUCACAGAUAUUCACAAAUUACUUAAAUGAAUGACCAAGGGCUAGUAGGCAUGAUUUUUAUUUCAAACUUUUAUUUAGGUUUAUGACAAUGGAUAAGCUAAAUUAUUUUUAAUUUAUAUGCCUCAAUGAACUUCACACAGCAACAUUUCCAAAGAUUCUAACAAUUUUAACCAUUUAUCAGUUUCCUAAAGGUAGUGUAUUAGUCAGCUUUUGUUGUGGUAAGAAACAACCCCAAUAGCUCAAUGGCUUACAAGAAAAAACAUUUAUUUCUAAUUUAUAUUGCAAGAGGGCUGUAAGUUGGCUGAAUUGUCUUGGCUGGGCUGCACUGGGAUUAGCUCCAUCCAUCUUCCCACUCCAGGACCCAGGCUGAAGGAGCAGUCCCCAUCUGGGCCAUAAUAUUCUUUUGCUUUGUUUGUUUAUGGCUGCACCUGAGGCUUAUGAAAGUUUCUGGGCUAGGGUUCAAACUGGAGCUGCAGCUGAGCCAUACACCACAACCGUGGCAACAGUGGAUUGGAGCUGCAUCUGUGAUCUACACUGCAGCUUGUGGCAACACCAGAUUCUUAACCCACUGAGCAAGUCCAGGUAUUGAACCCACAUCUUCACAGAGAGUGUAUUGCGUCUUUAAGCUAUUGAGCCACAGUGGGAACUCCUGGGUCAUACUCUUCUCAUGGGAGAAGGCAGAACACAAGAGAGACAGAGUCCAACCAAAUGAGCAUAGUCUGUAUCUCUUACAGAAGGUGGCAUAAGUCUGCUCAUAAUCUUUUUGCCCAAAUAAGUCACAAGGCCAAGUCCAACAUCAGUGGGGUUAGAAGUACAUCCAUCCUACAGUAAAGAAUAGUAAAAGUGGGGAGGAAAUGAGUCAUUGAGAAUAAAUAAUACAAUCUAAAGUUGUUGGUAAAAGGCACUGUUGAUAAAAAUUAAUAUUUUGGGGAGGUUUCUAUAAUAAAAAAAUCUUCUUCAAAGAUCAUUGAUAAUCUCCUGCAAUAUAAUCUACAAUUUAUUCUAAAUCUUUAGUUCUUCCCCUUGCCUGAAGCAUUGGAUAAUUUCCUCCUUGAAAUGUUUUCCUCUUUUCGGUUCUAUAGUAUUUUUCCUGGUUCUCUUCUUACCUCUCUGAAGACUUCUCUCUGCCUUUGUUAAUUAUCUUUCUAAUGGUGGUUCUAGAAAUAAGGCUCUCCCACCUGACUUUUCACUGGCCCUUUUAUUGCUAAGCAGUUCCAACUCAAACAACUCCUGUGAUUUCAAUGAUCUUUUCCAUGUGGAAAUAUCUCAAAUGACUGUAUUCAGCCUUGACUUCCAGAUUUGUACGGCCACCUGCCUUCUGGGAUCUCUGUUUGAAUGGUUUUUGACACUUCAAAUUCAGUAUUGUCAUUAGAAACUAGUCAUCUUUCCAUCUAGAUGUUUCCUUCCUGACUUCCCUAUUUCCAAUGGCAGCACCAUUUUCCAGGUCAUUCUGACUCACACCUCUGAGUUGUAUUUGACUCCUCCCUCCUUCCAACAUCCAAUUAAUGAAUGCUAAGUCAUAGGAUAUUUCAUAACCAUCCACUUAUUUUUUUUCCUACUACUGUCAUUCUUCAUUCCAGCCCAACCACUUUAAAAUAAUAGUCUCUUCUCCUUUGUUCUAUCCCCUUUAGCUUCUUAUUUUGUCACCAGGUUUUCCAGAUCAGAGCUCAUUGAAUUUUCUAGUUACUCUCUGUGUCUAAAUCAGUCACACAUUCACUCUGAUGUACAAGAAUUUUCACAUUAUGUUUCUAACUUGACUUUUUUAGGUUAUCUUCUAAAUGUUAAAAUUAAUUGAAGCUCGUGCCAAAAUAGGCUACUUGCUAUUACUUGAACACAUCCAAUGUUUGCCACUUAUUUGUCUUUUAUCUGCUGUUUUUUUUCUUUCCAGUGUUUACUUUGGCCCCAAUUUUUGUUCAGAUGAUACCUGUGCUUUUAAAUUUCAAUGUCAAUGAAAAAAUCUCUUCUAAGAACUUUUUCUAGCAGCACUUGGUUUGCAUCUCUCUAGUGCAUAGUUUUGCUUUAUGUUCCAGUGAUUUAUAAAGUUAUUCCUUCAACGAGACUAGUUUUUAGGAGAGACCACAAGUGGAUAGUACCCACAUUCGUAAUUUCUGUAGCAUCUAGAGAACUCUGUAUGUAAUAAAUUUAUAAUAUUAAUAAAUUAAUAAAAUCAAUAAUUUAAGAACUUAACUCAGGAUUCAGAUAGACUCUGGCACUGUUGAUGUUAAUUAUAAUUAUUCUUAUUAUUAAAUCUUCAUUAAGUGCUCAUAGAAUGUGGUUACACUUGCAACAGUUUUAUAUUUUCUCCUACCUUGUUUACAAAGUAAUUAGUAAAUGAGAACAAGCACAUUUUAUACUGGGAUUUUUUUUGUAUAAAAAUUUUUUUAUACUUGGAUAAUUGAGAAAUGAUUUGUUUUCCUAAUUACAACGGACAUUCAUUGUAAUCUUUUUUUUUUUUUUUUUUGGAGGUAGGUAAAACCCUUCUUUGCAUGAAGUUAAUUUCUUUUGUGUGUGUUUUUACUUAGAUUACACAGCAAAGAAAUUUCUUGAGCUAAAUUUUCCCUGCACCCUGCAAAAGAUCAUUAAAUGAUUGUGAAUCUCCUUACAAGAUAAAUAUAAAGAGAAAUAAUGAAUUUUUUUCCUAUGACUUGCUCAACAGUUCAACUUACCUCAGGUAAUAUUCUUUCUGAAUAAAUAGUUACCAACCACAUAAUUGCCUUGCUUCACAGAGAACUGAGAGAGUUAUUCAAAAAUAGGUCAAGGAGAAUCAGAAGUUAGGUUGGGAGAGUGUGGGCUGAUCCACUAUCAAUUUCGAAUUUUAAGAGAUAGGCUUUAACUUCUAGUAAUUGUUACUAAAUGGUGAUUAAAUGAUAUCAUUUUUGGAAUGCUAAUUUCUCAGAGUCAUCACACUAAGUUAACACAGUUGGGAAAUACUAAAAUGGUAUUGAUGUCAGGAAAGGAAGUGAAUGUUCCCUUAAAAAUUUGGUAAAAUUGGAUCUCAUGCUAAGUGUUCUUACCACAGGGGGAAAAAACCCCCACAAAAAAUGAAACCAAAUCCAAAAAAACCCAAAGGGAUACCAGUAAAAGUUUGGAAGUGGUAGAUAUUUUAUUACCUUGAUAAUGGUGAUAUCAUAGGUAUAUGCAUAUGUCCCAACUCAUCAAAUUUUAUAUAUUAAAUAUGUGUAGCUUUUGUAUAUCAGUUACACAUCAAUAAAGCUGUAAAACAAAACAACAAAAACUUUUUUGCACAAAACCUGAAACAUAUUCAGGGUAUAGUAAGAAUUUCCAGAGAUCUCGGAAAAGCUGGUGAAGGAAAAACAGCAUGACGGCCUAAAAUGAGGGCAAGCUUUGGAAUAACAUUACAUGCGCUUCCAAUUUAAACUGUUGUGCAGUGUAGAAGAAGAUAAAAGUUUCCCAAUUCAUUUUAAGUAAGCAUAACCUUGACUCCAAAACCUUCCAAACCUGAAUAAAAAGGAAACCAGAGACCAAUGUCAUUUAUGUGUAUUGUUGCAAAAAUUAUUAAUAAAAUGUUGGCAUGUUAAAUUGAAU